GAUGAACGCUGGCGGCGUGCCUAAUACAUGCAAGUCGAACGAAACUUCUUUAUCACCGAGUGCUUGCACUCACCGAUAAAGAGUUGAGUGGCGAACGGGUGAGUAACACGUGGGCAACCUGCCCAAAAGAGGGGGAUAACACUUGGAAACAGGUGCUAAUACCGCAUAACCAUAGUUACCGCAUGGUAACUAUGUAAAAGGUGGCUAUACUACCGCUUUUGGAUGGGCCCGCGGCGCAUUAGCUAGUUGGUAGGGUAAAGGCUUACCAAGGCAAUGAUGCGUAGCCGAAUUGAGAGGUUGAUCGGCCACAUUGGGACUGAGACACGGCCCAAACUCCCACGGGAGGCAGCAGUAGGGAAUCUUCCACAAUGGGCGAAAGCCUGAUGGAGCAACGCCGCGUGGGUGAAGAAGGUCUUCGGAUCGUAAAACCCUGUUGUUAGAGAAGAAAGUGCGUGAGAGUAACUGUUCACGUUUCGACGGUAUCUAACCGGAAAGCCACGGCUAACUACGUG
RNAcentral lists this ribosomal RNA (512 nucleotides) under uncultured bacterium. Its description in RNAcentral is "partial 16S ribosomal RNA". It matches the Rfam family "Bacterial small subunit ribosomal RNA", at positions 28 to 507 of the family's 1533-position model. The record is from RNAcentral.